UCUGGUCUACUCAUGUCUAGCCAAUCACUUGGAAAGUUUACUGCUGGCUGGUCUUGGCCUGAUAACUCAUCUACCUCCAGAUUGGCAGACAGAACAAGUCAAGGCCUGGCUGCUGGAGGAUCCCAGGAGCUCAGAGGGGUAAAUAGUCCAGAGAGCAUCAAACUCCAAACCUGUGUAGGCUCUGGGCAGAAGUUUCUCAGGACAAACACUGGCUUCUUCAAGGCAAGAAAUUCCCAGCGCCGGUUUGCUAAUGUUUGACAGAAAGUGGCUGAAGUCCCCACCUGCUGGUGAUGCUGUAACAAGGAUGGCCCACCUGCUGGUGACAGCAUGGACAAGGAUGGCCCACCUGCUGGUGACAGCAUGGACAAGGAUGGCCCACCUGCUGGUGAUGGCUUGGGGAGAGUCUCUGCUGUUUCCACUAAGAAGAGGAUUCCAGACCCUCUCCUUGCACCUGAGUGAGCUGGUGACUGUAGAUUUGCUGGACAGCUGGUUCCAGAGGCCGUGGGACCCAGAGUGUGGUUCAUAGAAGAACUGAGGUCCUGGAACCUCUGGGCCUUGGGAGUUGUUUGUGGAGGAUACCACUUUCAGAACUGCCCACAGCAACUUGAACAACUUGAGCAUCCUAGUCCCUCACACUGUACAUGAUCCCAGACACCACGGUGUGAGGAAGUCCAGGCAACAUAGAGAAGCCAUGAGUCAGUGUUCUGGCGGACAGCCCAGCUCAAGUGCUCAACACCAGCAGUGUGUGACUGCCACAUAUGUGAGGGAAGAGCCUUCCGCUGGUCCCAGACGGAGAGGAGAAAGCCCACAGAAACCACAGAGGAUAAUAACCGAUUAGUACCCUUUUAAAGUUAGCCUUUUUGUUUUGAGAUGGUUGUAGCAGAAGUCAACAAUGCUCGAGAGAUUCCCCUGUACCCUCCACCAGUUCUGCCAAGGCUAACAUCCUGCAAAACUACAGGACAGCCAAGAAGUAGUCACACCCACAGGCCUCCUGCCCCCAUAGCUUCUUCCUGGUACACUUUUAUGUGAUGCCCGU
Long non-coding RNA from Peromyscus eremicus (cactus mouse), 1036 nucleotides. RefSeq lists it as uncharacterized. The record is from RefSeq and is a predicted model, not a curated record. NCBI's taxonomy places the organism in Eukaryota, Metazoa, Chordata, Mammalia, Rodentia, Cricetidae. The transcript has 5 exons.